GAGGAGAGGAGAGGAGAGGAGAGGAGAGGAGAGGAGAGGAGAGGAGAGGAGACCCAUCCCCUCUCUCUCUGCUGCUGCUGGAGCUGGGCUGGAGCUGGAGCCGUCGAUGUGGCUCCCCAGAGUUAGUUGCUCAGCAACCAGAAUCAAUUAAUAUGCUUUGCAGAAAGUGCAGGGAAAGCCCGAGCUGCUGUCAGCCAGCAGGCAGGAGGCUGAGGGUGACUCAGGAUCCCACUCCUGCCUGAGACCCAUUUGGUCCCACCCCAUCUUCUCCAAACACCCCGUUCUUUUCCCCUUUCCCCUUCCCUAGGGUGCUUAAUGCGUGUGUCCCCAGAUUCUUCAGGCAGACCACCUCGUUGCUCAAGAAACCUCCUGCUUCAAGGGUUUUGCUUUUGGAGUCUGAUCUGUAUUUUUGGUUAUUUGUCAGAUUUUCUUCAACACUUUUCUAGAAAUUCUAAUAUUCAUGUUCUUUGGGAAGGGAAAGGGAUAGCUGUUGUUUUUGUCAGAUGGUUUUAAAGAUGCCUCAGGAUGAAAAGGGUUGUUUGGUAGUACACAGUUGAGCAGGCAGCAAUGAAAAUGCAUCAUGUGUAAAUUGGGAAAGUUUUUGCUUCUUCCUUUGUUACAGAUGAUCAGCACUGCAUAUAUGAGACCAAAGAGUCCCUCUGAUGACACCGCGAAUCUGGGAAUGAAGAACUUCUUAGAGCUGAUUGGAAAUGGCAUUGCAGAGCUGAAACUUAACUGGAGGAAAUAUAUCUCCUGAAGAAGAAAAUAUAAUGCACUGUAAGGAUCUGUCUUCUGGUGAAAAAUUCAAGCCUAGAGAAAACUUGUCUGCUUUGUUAGGAAGAAUGGGUUGGACAAUUUUCUUCAAUUCCAAAGGAUAUCUGAAUGCCAUGCUGAGCUUAAUCUCUGCAGCAUGCUCUGUGCUUCUCAUCUCUUCCUGAUGCACUGCAUGGUUAUUCUGAAGGGAAGGAUAAAGAAACUGGCCACCAAGAUGGUAAUCACUAGUGGAAAUGAAGAAGAUAAAGGCAGUCAAGAAAAGGAAAGCAAAGAAGAAACCAUCUUGGCAAUGCUUGGAAUUAUUGGGACAAUUCUGAACCUCAUUGUGAUCAUUUUUGUGUAUAUUUAUACAACGUUGUAAACUAGAAGGCAUGCAAAUAGACCAGAUAAAAUGGCCAUUAAGAGUGACAACAAACAUUGCUGACUAUUGACAAGUUCUUUAAUCAGAAUUGACUCUGUAUUAUAUUAACACAUCAUAAAAGCACUGCCUGAAGGCAGCGAAGACUGAAGCACAAUUAAUUUAACAAGACUUUUUCACACAGUAAUAAGCUUAACUCUUCUUCCUGCCCUCUCCCUUUCUGUUUGGUUUUCAGUUUGGGGGAGAAUGACUGCAGUUAUAUAAGUUGUAGCUUUGAAGAAAUCCACCAGGGAUAUGUUGUUUUAAAACAAUAAAAAAAAAAAAGAAAAGAAAAUAAAAUACA
This 1475-nucleotide long non-coding RNA is filed under the name Zonotrichia albicollis (white-throated sparrow). Its description in RNAcentral is "lncRNA (ENSZALG00000003820.1)". The record is from RNAcentral. Lineage: Eukaryota; Metazoa; Chordata; Aves; Passeriformes; Passerellidae.